This 181-nucleotide non-coding RNA is filed under the name Pseudo-nitzschia fraudulenta. RNAcentral also lists the same sequence under 1 other name. Lineage: Eukaryota; Bacillariophyta; Bacillariophyceae; Bacillariales; Bacillariaceae. The record is from RNAcentral.
UUCAGAAGACAACAGGGUGGGGAAAGCACCGGUGAGGAAGACGAUGAGACCCGCAACCAGUCCGACGCCGAGGUGAAUUCCCGGCAAGGCUCGAAGGAGGAGAUUAGGGCGCUGCGGCGUGAGAGCACCGAUGACUGGGACGCAAUCGAGGCCGAGAGCAAGGCUCAGCGGGACUCCCUCG